CAGAGUUUGCAAAAACUCCCAACCCCUUUGUGAAACGUACUUGCCAAGUUUGCCUUCGGCGGGGGAGGCUCCCCUCAAGGGAAGCCGGAACCCGCCGGCCGGGAACUGCCAAAACUCUUGUUUUGGACUACCAUUCUCUGAGUUAAGCUUAUUCAAUAAGUUUAA
Molecule: unclassified non-coding RNA, 165 nt
Filed under: soil metagenome
Description: partial internal transcribed spacer 1
Source: RNAcentral